RNAcentral lists this ribosomal RNA (468 nucleotides) under uncultured bacterium. RNAcentral describes it as "partial 16S ribosomal RNA". It matches the Rfam family "Bacterial small subunit ribosomal RNA", at positions 28 to 507 of the family's 1533-position model. The record is from RNAcentral.
GAUGAACGCUGGCGGCGUGCUUAACACAUGCAAGUCGAACGGAAAGGCCCUGCUUUUGUGGCGUUCUCGAGUGGCGAACGGGUGAGUAACACGUGAGUAACCUGCCCUUGACUGUGGGAUAACUUCAGGAAACUGGGGCUAAUACCGGAUAUGAGCUCCUGCUGCAUGGUGGGGGUUGGAAAGUUUCGGCGGUUGGGGAUAGACUCGCGGCUUAUCAGCUUGUUGGUGGGGUAGUGGCUUACCAAGGCUUUGACGGGUAGCCGGCCUGGGAGGGUGACCGGCCACAUUGGGACUGAGAUACGGACCAGACUGCAACGGGAGGCAGCAGUGGGAAAUAUUGCACAGUGGGCGGAAGCCUGAUGCAGCAACGCCGGGUGCGGGAUGCCGGCUUUUGGGUUAUAAACCGCUUUCUCCUGUGAUGAAGCGUGAGUGACGGUAAUUGGUAAAGAAGCACCGGCUAACUACGUG